Molecule: ribosomal RNA, 253 nt
Filed under: uncultured bacterium
Lineage: Bacteria
Description: partial 16S ribosomal RNA
Rfam family: Bacterial small subunit ribosomal RNA
Source: RNAcentral
UACGUAGGGUGCGAGCGUUGUCCGGAAUUACUGGGCGUAAAGAGCUCGUAGGUGGUUUGUCGCGUUGUUCGUGAAAACUCACAGCUUAACUGUGGGCGUGCGGGCGAUACGGGCAGACUGGAGUACUGCAGGGGAGACUGGAAUUCCUGGUGUAACGGUGGAAUGCGCAGAUAUCAGGAGGAACACCAGUGGCGAAAGCGGCUUCCUGGUCCAGCACCGACGUUCAGGCACGAAAGCGUGGGGAGCAAACAGG